AAUGGUGCAACUCUCUCCUUUCCCUUGACUUUGGCUUAUUUGAGGUUGGUCCCAAGUGCGGGGUGAAGACUUUUCAUUCCUGUAAUAACUCUAGUUUUAUCCCCCUGCCCACCGUCAUAAUGAUACUAGCCCUUCGGACACCGACUUAGUUGGUAUAAAAGUAGUUGGAGAAAGGUAAAACUGUACAAAAAGUAAAAGUUAGAAGGCAC
This 209-nucleotide long non-coding RNA is filed under the name Theobroma cacao (cacao). RNAcentral describes it as "long non-coding RNA (TCAC_LNC000192)". Lineage: Eukaryota; Viridiplantae; Streptophyta; Magnoliopsida; Malvales; Malvaceae. The record is from RNAcentral.